ACAUUCGCAUACUAGUAUAGUGUUGUUAUUUAUCAGACAAGUACUGUGGUCCAUGAAACCACAUGUAGCUCUCCUCCAAUUUAUGUGGAGCA
Long non-coding RNA from Melitaea cinxia (Glanville fritillary), 92 nucleotides. RefSeq lists it as uncharacterized. The record is from RefSeq and is a predicted model, not a curated record. NCBI's taxonomy places the organism in Eukaryota, Metazoa, Arthropoda, Insecta, Lepidoptera, Nymphalidae. The transcript has 4 exons.